GGCCUCUCUCCCACGGGGCUUUGGAGGGAUUCCUUUUCUCCUCACCCAAGACUGGAGGUCAAGAUCAAACCUUGAGGAUCAUUGUAAGGACUGCCACAGCUGGGCAGCCUGUUUUCCUACCUCAGACACGU
Molecule: small nucleolar RNA, 131 nt
Filed under: Carlito syrichta (Philippine tarsier)
Lineage: Eukaryota; Metazoa; Chordata; Mammalia; Primates; Tarsiidae
Source: RNAcentral